GGCACCGUGGCUUAGUAGGUUAAAGUCCCUGUCUCAUAAACAUUGGAUCCUGGCUUCAGAUCCCAGCAGUGCCU
RNAcentral lists this transfer RNA (74 nucleotides) under Danionella cerebrum. Its description in RNAcentral is "tRNA-Met". It matches the Rfam family "tRNA". From Rfam's summary of the family: Transfer RNA (tRNA) molecules are approximately 80 nucleotides in length. Their secondary structure includes four short double-helical elements and three loops (D, anti-codon, and T loops). Lineage: Eukaryota; Metazoa; Chordata; Actinopteri; Cypriniformes; Danionidae. The record is from RNAcentral.